Molecule: transfer RNA, 70 nt
Filed under: Escherichia coli
Lineage: Bacteria; Pseudomonadati; Pseudomonadota; Gammaproteobacteria; Enterobacterales; Enterobacteriaceae
Description: tRNA-Asp
Rfam family: tRNA
About the family: Transfer RNA (tRNA) molecules are approximately 80 nucleotides in length.
Source: RNAcentral
GGAGCGGUGGUUCAGUCGAAGGAAUACCCGCCUGUCACGCAGGUCGCGGGUUCGAGUCCCGUCCGUUCCG